GCACAAGCGGUGGAGCAUGUGGUUUAAUUCGACGCAACGCGAAGAACCUUACCUGGGCUCGAAAUGUUAUGGACCGGGGUGGAAACAUCCCUUCCCCGCAAGGGGCCGUAAUAUAGGUGCUGCAUGGCUGUCGUCAGCUCGUGUCGUGAGAUGUUGGGUUAAGUCCCGCAACGAGCGCAACCCUUACCCCCAGUUGCCAUCAUUUAGUUGGGCACUCUGGUGGAACCGCCUCGGAUAACGGGGAGGAAGGUGGGGAUGACGUCAAGUCCUCAUGGCCUUUAUGUCCAGGGCUACACACGUGCUACAAUGGCCGGUACAAACCGUCGCAAACCCGUGAGGGGGAGCUAAUCGGAAAAAGCCGGCCUCAGUUCGGAUCGUAGUCUGCAACUCGACUACGUGAAGCUGGAAUCGCUAGUAAUCGCGGAUCAGAACGCCGCGGUGAAUACGUUCCCGGGC
RNAcentral lists this ribosomal RNA (456 nucleotides) under uncultured bacterium. Its description in RNAcentral is "bacterial SSU rRNA". It matches the Rfam family "Bacterial small subunit ribosomal RNA", at positions 923 to 1379 of the family's 1533-position model. The record is from RNAcentral.